UUACCUACGGGGGGCAGCAGUGAGGAAUAUUGGUCAAUGGGCUUACGCCUGAACCAGCCAAGUCGCGUGAGGGAAGACUGCCCUAUGGGUUGUAAACCUCUUUUGUCAGGGAGCAAUUGGCGCUACGUGUAGCGUUAUCGAGAGUACCUGAAGAAAAAGCAUCGGCUAACUCCGUGCCAGCAGCCGCGGUAAUACGUAGGGUGCGAGCGUUAAUCGGAAUUACUGGGCGUAAAGGGUGCGCAGGCGGUUGAGUAAGACAGAUGUGAAAUCCCCGAGCUUAACUCGGGAAUGGCAUAUGUGACUGC
Molecule: ribosomal RNA, 305 nt
Filed under: uncultured bacterium
Lineage: Bacteria
Description: bacterial SSU rRNA
Rfam family: Bacterial small subunit ribosomal RNA
Source: RNAcentral